CUCCGGAUCUUAUCGACUGCAAUAACUAUACUCUGAGCUUCACAGAACGUAAGUUCGUGAAUAUAGGUAUCAAUCUAACAGACACGUUCACUGUCAAAGUUCAGAUAAUAACUCCGUCACGAUACGUCAACCUAACACCGGAUGUUCUAUCGCAAAUAUUUUCACUGAUGGACGAAAUCCUAUCAAACAUACUCGACACGCCGAAAUACAAGUUACAUAUAUUUCUGGAAACAGCAAUAUUCAAGUUAUCGCGUUGUGUGUACAAAAAAGAAAACGUUCUUGUAAUAGAAUCAAAA
This is a non-coding RNA of Cinara cedri, 296 nucleotides long. Lineage: Eukaryota; Metazoa; Arthropoda; Insecta; Hemiptera; Aphididae. The record is from the annotation of a GenBank genome assembly.